UGGGGAAUAUUGCACAAUGGGGGAAACCCUGAUGCAGCGACGCCGCGUGGAGGAAGAAGGUCUUCGGAUUGUAAACUCCUGUUGUUGGGGACGAUAAUGACGGUACCCAACAAGGAAGUGACGGCUAACUACGUGCCAGCAGCCGCGGUAAAACGUAGGUCACAAGCGUUGUCCGGAAUUACUGGGUGUAAAGGGAGCGCAGGCGGGAAUGCAAGUUGGGAGUGAAAUCUACGGGCUCAACCCGUAAACUGCUCUCAAAACUGUAUUUCUUGAGUAGUGCAGAGGUAGGCGGAAUUCCCGGUGUAGCGGUGGAAUGCGUAGAUAUCGGGAGGAACACCAGUGGCGAAGGCGGCCUACUGGGCACCAACUGACGCUGAGGCUCGAAAGUGUGGGUAGCAAACAGGAUUAGAUACCCUUGU
RNAcentral lists this ribosomal RNA (419 nucleotides) under uncultured bacterium. RNAcentral's name for it is "bacterial SSU rRNA". It matches the Rfam family "Bacterial small subunit ribosomal RNA", at positions 355 to 791 of the family's 1533-position model. The record is from RNAcentral.